RNAcentral lists this long non-coding RNA (2313 nucleotides) under Podarcis lilfordi (Lilford's wall lizard). Lineage: Eukaryota; Metazoa; Chordata; Lepidosauria; Squamata; Lacertidae. The record is from RNAcentral.
CUUUCUACUGGGGCUUGACUUGGUGAUGAAUACAAGAGCCUCUUCUGGGCCAGGGGGGAAUCAGGACCCUGGACAGCUCCUAGUCUGGCGUGGUGGUUAAAAGCGAUAGACUCGUAAUCAGGUGAACUGGGUUCAUGUCUCCGCUCCUCCACAUGCAGCUGCUGGGUGACCUUGAGUUAGUCACACUUCUUUGAAGUCUCUCAGCCCCACUCACCUCACAGAGUGUUUGUUGUGGGGGAGGAAGGGAAAGGAGAAUGUUAGCCACUUUGAGACUCCUUCGGGUAGUGAUAAAGCGGGAUAUCAAAUCCAAACUCUUCUUCUUCUUCUAGGGAAACCUGCUAUCUGAGAUUGGGAAGAUGUUGUCAUCCCCUCUUAAGCCAUAUAAAGGUUGGCAGGGCCUCGCCUACCAGUGGCUCCACCUCCCUAGGAGGAGGAGCUUGCAGUGUCUAAGUUUAUCUCCAUCCAGCAAGCAAGAGGCAUUAUCACAAUUCAAGGGCACGUUUCAGCCAGGCAAAGGCAAUUGAGAGUCUGGAUCAACACAGAUGAGAAGUAUGGCCCACAGAGCAGGUGAGGCAGUCUCAAGGGCCAGGUAGAAAAGCCUGAUGGGCCACAUCCAGCCAACAGACUUGAAAUUUCCCUCCCUGCCUUUUUCCAAAGUGGUUCUCAUAGGCAAGCCAUUGCUUCCCAAACUUGGUCUCCAGCUUGGUUUUCCAAUUCCCAUCAUCCCUGACCAAUGGCCUUGCUAGCUAGGGAUGAUGAAAGUUGUAGUCCAAAAACAGCUGGAAACCCAAGUUUGGGAAACACUGGGCCAGGCCUAGCAAUGUAAAGGGCAAGGUGACAGAGCCUCUUCUCUAAAUCUGGUGAUCGGCUCCUUCAGCUUGCUCGGGAGUCCUCCCUUUCCCCAUCAGUGGUUGAUAGAAGAAAAGCUAGUUGGGCUUACAUCCUAUCAAGGCAGCGGGGAAGUCAAAUCUCUUUUAUGUGUCUGUAUUGAAAUGGUCCUGCCAGGCAAGGAGUUGGCCUCCCUCUGCUUCUGCUUGCAAUGAGCUCAGCAAAUUAUGAGCAACAGCCAUUUACUGUGAGCCCCAGUGCUCCAGUAACUGGGAGAGGAUGGGGCAGGAGCCAAAGGACUCUCCCUGGAACACUUUCUGGCUUUCUCCUUUCAUCAGCAUGCUUUUCUUUAAUAAGGCCUGCUGGCAUGAUCUUACUCUGAAAAAGAGAGAGAGAAAAAACACUCCUCUGUGCAUUGCCGGAAACUAUGCAAUUCUGUGUUGCAGUGCAGCAGCCCCAGGCAGAAUCAUGUGUCCACAACAUCUCUGAUAAAGCCCAUAUUAUGAUAUCUGGAGCAGCCUCCCCUAGUCUGUGGUUCUCCAGAUGUUGUGGGACAUCAACUCCCAUCAGUCCAAGCCAGCAUGGCCAAUGGUCAAGGGUCAAGGGAUUUGCAGUCCGGUGGUGCUCAAUGGUGGAGCAGCAGCUUUGGAUGCAAAAGGUCCCUGGUAUGGCCAAACUGGACAAAGAAAAGACUCCUGCCUGAAACCCUGGAGAACCACUGCCAGCCAGUACUGAGCUGUAUUAACCAAUGGCCUGACUCUGGAUAAGGCAGCUUCCUGAAGCAAGCUAACUUUACUUUCUAGAAUGAACCACCUUUACUGGCUGGAGUGAGCCAUCCCAACUGGGUGAAGUGAACCAUCUCUCCUGGCUAGAGUGAAUCACCUCCCCUAGCUAGAGUGAACCAUCUCCACCUGCUGGAGUGAACCAUCUCUCCUGGCUAGAGUGAACCACCUCCACCUGCUAGAGUGAACCAUCUCUCCUGGCUAGAGUGAACCACCUCCACCUGCUGGAAUGAACCACCUCUCCUGGCUUAGAGUGAACCUCCUCCACCUGCUGGAGUGAACCUUCUCUCCUUGUUGAAGUGAACCAUCUCUACCUGCUUGUCUGUGAACAGACAUUGUGUCCAUCCUGCAAACCAUUGAAAUCCUCCCCAAAUUUGCCACCUGUGAAUGGCAUGAUGAAUUCAGAAAAGUCCUUUCGGCUCAGGCUUUCUGAGAUUGAAGAGAGUCCCACAGGACACACACACCGUCUUGCAGAAGGCCAAAACGGCUCAUCGGAUGUCACAGGCUGCCCGGAUUUUAUGCUGCAUCCUUGCACACUGAGAGGGAUAAAAAGCAGCAUAUGGGCCUUUGCUUCCAACGCGACUUUGCAGAGCUUAAUUGGAUCAUCCAUUUUUGCUAUAUUAACAUAUUGGGACGGCAGCUAAUCCCCUCGGGAGGCCCUGUAACAUUGCAGAUUAAAGCACUUUUCAUGAUCUGCAUGACA